AAGACUAUACUUCACAGGAUCAUUUCUGUAGUCAGUCUUCAAUUACUUUCAUUGCAAAAUGGAAAACCAUCAACCUGCGAUGAGGAGGUACAUCGUUCUAUCUGUAGCGUGAGGUUUUGAACUUUGCCAUUCUUUUGGGUUUCUUCGGAAUUCCAUCGAUGGCAUUGUUUCUUCGAUGAUCGCUCGAUUUAAACGGAUAGAACGACUUCUGAGUGGU
This 217-nucleotide small nucleolar RNA is filed under the name Musca domestica (house fly). RNAcentral's name for it is "small nucleolar RNA U3". It matches the Rfam family "Small nucleolar RNA U3". From Rfam's summary of the family: Small nucleolar RNAs (snoRNAs) are involved in the processing and modification of rRNA in the nucleolus. There are two main classes of snoRNAs: the box C/D class, and the box H/ACA class. U3 snoRNA is a member of the box C/D class. The record is from Rfam by way of RNAcentral. Lineage: Eukaryota; Metazoa; Arthropoda; Insecta; Diptera; Muscidae.